RNAcentral lists this long non-coding RNA (2220 nucleotides) under Arabidopsis lyrata. Its description in RNAcentral is "long non-coding RNA (ALYR_LNC002420)". Lineage: Eukaryota; Viridiplantae; Streptophyta; Magnoliopsida; Brassicales; Brassicaceae. The record is from RNAcentral.
CUAUAUAUAGCUGACUAAACUUAGGAAAUUCACCUUCUCCAGGUUUCAAACUUCCCAUCUGGUGGUAAUUCUCUCCUUGUAUCUGAAACAUAUUAGGACCCCUUCCCGCUGUAACAGAAUUAUCACACUUACCCCCAAGAGAAGUAAAUGAAAAAAUCAUGUUAUAUGCUCGGAUGUUCUCUCUAAAGUGUCUACUCAUGUCAUCAUCAUUGGUUAGCAAAGCAAAUAACAGUUCUGGUUGAUUAUGGAGGAAAGGCAGUUUCACAGAUCCUUGCAGACAACAUUGAGUAAAAAUUGGUUUACGAACUUUCUUAUGUCUGUUGAUGCGUUCGCCAUACCACAUAAUAGCACCGCAGUAGGAACAUGAGUAGACAGGAUCUCCAUGAUCUAGAUACUCUACAAUAACGGGAAUAAGUUUAGCAUAAGUAAAGUUUGUGUAAGAAAAGAAUUAGAAAUAAACCAAUGAUGUAGUACCUGUGUUUUUGUUCUUUCUGCUAGAAACAUUAGGAGUUUUUAUUUCUCCAAAAGCUUUGGUCAAACUUUCAUCUAACAUUGAUAAAAACUCAUAUCUUUGUUUGACUUCGAUUGGGAUAUCGUCUAUGGUUUCAUAAUCUUCAGAUGUUUCUGAAUCAUUUUCAUCUGGACUACUACACUCGUAAACCUGUUCACGUGUUUCCUCCAAAUCACUUAUCAUAGUUUUUUCCCCUGAUUAGUGGAUGCUUUAUUAAGUUUAGAAAAUAUAUCAUAAUGAUUUUUACUUACUCAUAUUAAUAUAUGUUUCUUCCUUUGAAUUCAGGAUCUCAUCAGAGUCUUCUUCGAUUGUUGUAUCAUAACUCUUGUGAGAUGUUUUCUUCUCCUUUGCCAAAGACUUUGGGAACCUCAGAUUGAUUCUUGAAUUGGUAAGUAUAAUACCCUUAGCAGCUUCAUGAAAUAAACAUUACUCCAUCAGUGUUGAUCUAUUAAUACUUUUUAUGUAAUAGUUUCAUAUUAUUGAGAGGCAUGUAUACCUUGUUUGCUAUUAACAGAUGGUGGACUCCACUUUUUCCCCUUUUUUUCUGGUGGCUUAUGUGGAUUAAGUGGAGUUUGGUGAACCUCGCUGUGAAGCUGUGAUGUAUUAAUAAUGUUCUGCACAUCUUGAAAAGGUCUUCUCUGUGUCCUUGCUGUUUUUUUGCCUGAUCUUACACUCGUAUUAUAAGUAACUGUAGAUGCAAAUCCUAUACAUUAUGAUUAUUUAUUAGUUAGCAUCAUAUGUAGAUGCUAUAUUGUUGGAAUAUAAAUGUUUACAUACCUUGUGUUUCCUUUUGUAUGGCUGCAGAAGAAGAAGGACCAGUUACUGUCUGUAAGGCUUCAGAAUCACACUGCUGGGCUGGUAUGUUACCUAUUCCAGAUCUCAAUCGAUUAAAAAUCCCUUUUACUUGAACAUCACUCCUAUCUUGUUGGUUCUGUAGAUUUGGAUUUAUGUUUUCAUCAUGUAGCUGAGACCUAGAACGCUUUGUGUUAGGUGUCUGCAUUACAUUGUUAUUUUCUUUUACUGUUUCAUUUUUUCUUCUCUUCAUUCUGAAAAACAAAAUAGAAUUGUUAGAAAAAUAAUUCCAAUUAUGUCAUUUGUCAAUGAACAUGUUAUAUGUUGAAAGAUAUUAAAAGACUGACCUUAUAGUUGUUUCUUUGCUAAUGAGGCGAGUAGCUGUAGAUUAGGAAUGAAGGUGUAAAAUGGUUAUGUAAUGAUUAUAAAGAAAUCGUCUCAGCCUUAUUUAGUGUGAUAGCAUUAAACUGAAAAGAUUACAGAAUAUAUUUUCUUUUCCAUAUUCAUAAUAAAAUCUAAUUGAUUGAUUCUUAUUUUUAGCAUAGAAUCUUGUAUAUUAAUAGGUUAAAUAUGCCAGUUUGGUCGUGAAAACAGUUGUUAUACUACAACAAUGAACCCUUUUAAAACUGAUUUAUCUAUACUGCUAUACUAUUCCAAUUUGUUAACGAUUUAGAAUAGGAGAAAGAUUUUAAUAGCUUAAGAUCUUUAAAAUAUUUGCACAUAUGCCCUUUAAAAUAUAUGUACUUAUAUAUCUCACAUAUUAAUUAAGUUAGCCAUUUAUAGUAUAGAUAUCGUCAGAUUAGUAUAGAUUCAUCGCAGUCUCUCAAUGUUUGUUACUAAUAUGUGUUUUCUUUUAUCUGCAGUGUUAGCUACAGUUAUGGGGCUUAUAUAUGAAAAUUCAUCAAUACAAAGCACAA